RNAcentral lists this unclassified non-coding RNA (223 nucleotides) under uncultured Chytridiomycota. RNAcentral describes it as "sequence contains ITS1". Lineage: Eukaryota; Fungi; Chytridiomycota. The record is from RNAcentral.
CGAAUCAAAACUCUGCCCGCCGCGAACGCCUUACGGCGCCGCGGCGCGGUGGACAAACACCCAUGUGCUCCAUGAACGUCUUUUGGCGGUCCCUUCGGCAGCGGCCUCGGCCGCAGUCGUCGAGCGGUCGGAUGGCGCGAGCCGUCCGUCCGCUUUGGGCCGCCAGCAGUGACACACACCAAAAUCUUGUUUUAUCUGAACCCAAAACGAAAGCAAUGAGAAA